CUGACCGAUAGUGAACCAGUACCGUGAGGGAAAGGCGAAAAGAACCCCGGCGAGGGGAGUGAAAAAGAACCUGAAACCGUGUACGUACAAGCAGUGGGAGCACCUUCGGGUGUGACUGCGUACCUUUUGUAUAAUGGGUCAGCGACUUAUAUUCUGUAGCAAGGUUAACCGUAUAGGGGAGCCGCAGGGAAACCGAGUCUUAACUGGGCGUUAAGUUGCAGGGUAUAGACCCGAAACCCGGUGAUCUAGCCAUGGGCAGGUUGAAGGUUGGGUAACACUAACUGGAGGACCGAACCGACUAAUGUUGAAAAAUUAGCGGAUGACUUGUGGCUGGGGGUGAAAGGCCAAUCAAACCGGGAGAUAGCUGGUUCUCCCCGAAAGCUAUUUAGGUAGCGCCUCGUGAAUUCAUCUUCGGGGGUAGAGCACUGUUUCGGCUAGGGGGUCAUCCCGACUUACCAACCCGAUGCAAACUACGAAUACCGAAGAAUGUUAUCACGGGAGACACACGGCGGGUGCUAACGUCCGUCGUGAAGAGGGAAACAACCCAGACCGCCAGCUAAGGUCCCAAAGUCAUGGUUAAGUGGGAAACGAUGUGGGAAGGCACAGACAGCCAGGAUGUUGGCUUAGAAGCAGCCAUCAUUUAAAGAAAGCGUAAUAGCUCACUGGUCGAGUCGGCCUGCGCGGAAGAUGUAACGGGGCUAAACCAUGCACCGAAGCUGCGGCAGCGACACUAUGUGUUGUUGGGUAGGGGAGCGUUCUGUAAGCCUGCGAAGGUGGCCUGUGAGGGCUGCUGGAGGUAUCAGAAGUGCGAAUGCUGACAUAAGUAACGAUAAAGCGGGUGAAAAGCCCGCUCGCCGGAAGACCAAGGGUUCCUGUCCAACGUUAAUCGGGGCAGGGUGAGUCGACCCCUAAGGCGAGGCCGAAAGGCGUAGUCGAUGGGAAACAGGUUAAUAUUCCUGUACUUGGUGUUACUGCGAAGGGGGGACGGAGAAGGCUAUGUUAGCCGGGCGACGGUUGUCCCGGUUUAAGCAUGUAGGCGGAGGUUCCAGGUAAAUCCGGUACCUUUUAACGCUGAGAUGUGAUGACGAGGCACUACGGUGCUGAAGUAACAAAUGCCCUGCUUCCAGGAAAAGCCUCUAAGCAUCAGGUAACAUCAAAUCGUACCCCAAACCGACACAGGUGGUCAGGUAGAGAAUACCAAGGCGCUUGAGAGAACUCGGGUGAAGGAACUAGGCAAAAUGGUGCCGUAACUUCGGGAGAAGGCACGCUGGUGUGUAGGUGAAGUCCCUGCGGAUGGAGCUGAGACCAGUCGAAGAUACCAGCUGGCUGCAACUGUUUAUUAAAAACACAGCACUGUGCAAACACGAAAGUGGACGUAUACGGUGUGACGCCUGCCCGGUGCCGGAAGGUUAAUUGAUGGGGUUAUCCGUAAGGAGAAGCUCUUGAUCGAAGCCCCGGUAAACGGCGGCCGUAACUAUAACGGUCCUAAGGUAGCGAAAUUCCUUGUCGGGUAAGUUCCGACCUGCACGAAUGGCGUAAUGAUGGCCAGGCUGUCUCCACCCGAGACUCAGUGAAAUUGAACUCGCUGUGAAGAUGCAGUGUACCCGCGGCAAGACGGAAAGACCCCGUGAACCUUUACUAUAGCUUGACACUGAACAUUGAGCCUUGAUGUGUAGGAUAGGUGGGAGGCUUUGAAGCGUGGACGCCAGUCUGCGUGGAGCCAACCUUGAAAUACCACCCUUUAAUGUUUGAUGUUCUAACGUAGGCCCCUAAUCGGGGUUGCGGACAGUGUCUGGUGGGUAGUUUGACUGGGGCGGUCUCCUCCCAAAGAGUAACGGAGGAGCACGAAGGUUAGCUAAUCCUGGUCGGACAUCAGGAGGUUAGUGCAAUGGCAUAAGCUAGCUUGACUGCGAGCGUGACGGCGCGAGCAGGUGCGAAAGCAGGUCAUAGUGAUCCGGUGGUUCUGAAUGGAAGGGCCAUCGCUCAACGGAUAAAAGGUACU
RNAcentral lists this ribosomal RNA (2002 nucleotides) under human gut metagenome. RNAcentral's name for it is "bacterial LSU rRNA". It matches the Rfam family "Bacterial large subunit ribosomal RNA", at positions 480 to 2467 of the family's 2925-position model. The record is from RNAcentral.